RNAcentral lists this long non-coding RNA (12037 nucleotides) under Setaria italica (foxtail millet). RNAcentral's name for it is "long non-coding RNA (SITA_LNC005219)". Lineage: Eukaryota; Viridiplantae; Streptophyta; Magnoliopsida; Poales; Poaceae. The record is from RNAcentral.
GUGCCAACAGGAGCGGACUCAGGAGCUGCGACUUCACCUGAAAAAGAAAAGCCACAACAAGGCUGAGCUACUAAGCUCAACAAGACUUAACCGACCAGGAGUAAACUACUCCACCACUUCUAGACAUGCAAGGCUCUUUGGCUGGGGUUUUGUUUGCCAAAAGCACUAUGUAUAACCUUAUGAUCAAAGUUUUAGUUCAGAUUCUAAGUUCAUUAACCGGUCUAAGUUGGCAACUUACUCUAAACAAACAUAGAUCCAACCAAGAGGGGUAUAUAAGCAUCAUCAAGACCAUGUCAUCAUCAGAUUUCAUUAUUACUCAGUGUAGCAUAGCGAUCAAGCAGUCUCAAACUGUGAGAGGCAGAUGAAUCGAUUCGAGUUCUUUAACCAUGCAUGGUGAACCUAACCUAACGACAUCCGCGCACCACCGAGGUCGCUUCCUGUGUCGGCCUUCCCCAUCAAUUCCCUAACCCGUGUCGGGCCCAUUUCUUUUGGUGCAAGGUUCCACAGAUCCGGCCUCUGCCGUUCUGUGACCACACUUGCCACCACGUGCGGCCGCAGGGGAACUCCGUUCCAAGGACAAUGGGGCGACCACUCAUGUCUAGGUUCAAUUCGGUACUAGGCUUCCUCAUCCCAUACUGAGUAUGAGGUUAGUACUUUCAAACACUUGAUCACGAAUACCACCACUGUCGAGCCUUAAUAGAUUUCAUAGACAGACGGGGCGAUCAGCCGACCACCAAAAGUUAACCAGAACCCUACCCCGUCCAUCGUCCUUAUAGUUGUGACAGAAGGAGAACAACCAACUCCUACAACUCGCGAGUGACAGGAAAUCACUCGACUUUUACCGCUUCCUAUUUAAGCAUAGCAACUACUCGGUCCAACAGCUAGUGUUCAGAUCAAGGGACUAUGCCAUGCAUCUACGGUUGCAAACAACUUCUAUACGUAAAUGCACAAACAUGAUGAAGAAGGCAUGCGCAAGUUUGGGAAACUGGGGUUCAUGCUCCGGGGCUUGCCUUCAAGCAAGGAGGAAGGGAACUGGUCUUCUGAUGGGGCGGCUUCGGCUUCUGGAAGCGGUAGCUCGGCUACAACUCCGUCUUCUGGCGCCGGGUACAGCUCGUAGACGCCGUCAGCGAGAUUCAACUCUACACGAAAUGCAAAUGCAGGAGUUAGCACUUAGACGGUUAUUUCAACAACAACACCUUCAAGUUAAAGCUCGGACACUGGUAGCAAAGCUACAGAAAAGGUGGGGAAGUGUACUUGGGUUGGUGGAGAGCAAGAUAAAAAGGGUCGGAUGGGAAGAAACUUAUGAUCUGACCCUUAGGCUAGAGGAAUAGUUGUGCUGGGGGUCCUCAGACUUAGCGCAGAGAAGUCCUCAAUUUAUUAUACAUAUACCCUCGGGUCAAGGAAAAGGAUACAACCGAGUCCUCGGGCGAGGCGGAAAAGGGGUCGGACGAACAGAAGGGGUCGGGCGAGACGGAAAAGGGGUCGGACAAACAGAAGGGUCGGGCGAGGCGGAAAAGGGGUCGGUAACCUACCUUUGGUUUAAAGGUGAAGCUCGGGGUCGGGAAGGAGCAGACUUGGGCGGAAGGACUGAAGCACUAAGACUUGGGCAGCGGCGAUGCCCGGCAGUGCUCCGGCGGCGGUGGUGCUUCUUGUGGACAAGAAGCAAGCUCUAGCACAGCGCGGAGGAGCAAGCGGCGGGGUGGAUUGGGAAAGGCGAUGUUGAGCGGAGAGGAGAGUUCCUCAUGAACUUAGGUGGCAGCGCUUGAGCACGAAACAGAGGAACGGCGGUAAGGCAGCGAUGGCGAAGGGGACUCCGGCGGGACUCUGGCAUUCCCUUUUAUAGUUGCGCGGAAGAGAGAGAGUUGGAGCAGCACGAAGACUGGGAAGAAGCGAUGGAGUGCGCUGCCAUGGCGGUGAUUGAGCAGCGGGCCAGCAGAAUAGGACUUCGGGGAUGACACCUUCGGCCAUUGGGCACUGGAGAUAGGGCGGCGCAGGCGCGGUUUUGCCGGUGGUUGAGAUUUGGCGGAGGCGGGCGUCGUCGUGCGGCGGAUCUGAUGGGUGUGACAGGGGAAACGGCGCUAGAAGCGAGGUUGCACAGGGGAGAAGACAGGUGGGCUGCGGCUGCGCGGGCUAGCGCGAAGCAGCGGUCUGUCGGGGCGCAGAUCUGGCAAGGCGGAAAAGGAGCUAUCGCGGCCGGGGUCGGGGUUGGCGGAGGAGGAAUCGUCGCGUAGCGCAUCUGGGGCGGCGCGACUGUGGAGAGACGGCGGAAAAGCCUUGAGGCAUCGGGCCUUGCAGCCGGGGGUUCGGCGAGGUGAUGAUGGGCGCGAGCUGCGAGGCGCUGCAGAAAGGGUAGCAGAGGAGCUUCCGCUGCGAUUGGGGAAGAGGGCGCGGGAAUCCAUCCGGUCGCGGCCGGCGACGGGGCGGAGCGGCAGGGGUCGGAGGAAUUGAGCCACGCGGCGAAGAAGCUCUGAAGCGGGCAUGCCACUCGAGUGCGUCUGCACUAGGAGAUCGGGGAAAGAUUUUGCAGGUCCACCGGUCAGUCUCGGUUGGUCCACUACUCAGAUUGAAGGGAGACACUGUUGGGAAGACUUCGAAGGAUCCGGCGGGGUGAGUUGGGGGUCGGCAGGGGUCGGAGCUUGGAACUGGCAGAGAGGGGUCGGGUUCUCAGGGGUCGGGACCAGGACUGGAGGUUGAGCACUCAACUCGGGGAAGCUGAGAUAGGGGAUCAGGGACUCGGAUUAGAUUAACUCGAAAGAUUUGGGGUCGGUCGUCACACCGACGCACCGACCCGGCCUAGGAGUAGGCAGACUGCUACGUCCGCAGGAUGCCGUCCUUGACCUCGCCAUGAAUGCCACCAAUUCGACAGCCCACGAGCUCUAGGUCGCCAUCAACAACCUCUUCCAGGCAAACAAAGCCCCUCGCGCCAUCUAAUUGAGCCACGAAUUUCAUUCGAUGACUCAAGGAGAUCUCUCCAUCAAUGACUACUGCCACCGCAUGAAGACCGCCGCCAACUCUCUUCGCGACUUUGGCCAUCCAGUCAGCGAGCCUACCCUCAUCCUCAACCUGCUGAGUAUUCCCGUUACGUCUUGAGGUCACUCCAUCCUACCCACUGCAAUGUCUAAUUUUGCUCUCAACAACGUUCUUAUCGUUCCAUCUAUCAUUAGCAAUUUACUUUCAGUUCGCCAAUUUACUCGCGAUAAUCGUUGUUCGAUCGAAUUUGACACCUUGGGUUUCUCUAUUAAGGACAAUUUCUCUGAUAAGGACCUCCAGACGCGACGUGUGAUUCUUCGCUGCGAUGGAGAUCUCUACAUCCUUCCGUCGGUCGCCCCCCGCCACCCACCAUGCCUUGCUUGCUGCGUUGUCUUCCCUAUGGCACCAGUGCCUUGGUCACCCGUGUCCAGUAGUUCUCAAUGCCCUCAAUAAGCAAGACCUCAUUCCAUGUAAUAAAGUAGACAAGCCCCUUUGCCAUUCUUAGCUAGGCAAUCACACAUCUACCUUUUAGUACUUCGGUUUCUCAUACUACUGCACCUUUUGAACUUGUUCAUUGUGAUGUCUGGACCUCUCCCGUUACAAGCAUCUCGGGCUUCUCUUAUUAUUUGGUGAUUUUCGAUGAUUACACGCAUUUUUACUGGACCUUCCCUCUCAGGCGCAAGUCUGAUGUGCAUCAACACAUAGUUGAUUUUAUUUCCUACGCUCAUAAACAAUUCGGUCUUCCAGUGAAGUGUUUUCAGGCUGAUAACGGUACUGAAUUUGUUAACAAUGCCACCACGACGCCCCUGGCCUCCCGUGGCAUCCUGUUGCGCCUUUAUUGCCCUUACACCUCUCCGUAAAAUGUUAAAGCCGAACGUGUGAUUUGUACACUCAACAACUCUGUGCGCAGUCUCCUGCUCCAUGCAUCCAUGCCGCUCUCCUACUGGGCUGAGGGACUCGUUGCUGCCACAUACUUGAUGAAUAGGCACCCAUCUUCCUCGAUUCGUCAUGAGGUCCCUUACACCCAUCUCCACCGUAGCCCUACCUCCUACAGUCACCUGCAUGUUUUUGGGUGUUUAUGUUAUCCUAACCUGCAAGCUACAGCCCCUCACAAGUUCUCGCCUCGCUCAGCGGCCUGCGUAUUUCUCGGGCAUCCCUCUUCACACAAGGGGUACAGGUGCCCCAACCUGACCACUCGGCACAUCAUUAUUUCACAGCACGUCGUCUUCGACGAGUCCCGUUUCCCCUUCGUGACCACCCCCUCCUCUCCACGCACAUCAUCCCUUGAUUUUCUUCUCGAUGAUGAAGUGGAUAUUGUGCCUUGCCCUACUGAAAAGAUCUUGUGAUGCCUAGAGGGGGGGGUGAAUAGGCUCACUUCAAAUUUUUCAAAAAAAACUUCGCAGCGGUAUUAGAUAUGUCGAAACUUCCGACACUAUGCCGAAACUUUUGAUGGGUCGGAACUUCCGACAGUCGAAAGUGAGUUGAAUGAAAUUCAAAAUGAAACCUGAAUUUGCCAUUCUGUUUGAAUCAAAAGAUUAUAAAAGAAGUGUAAGAUAGAUAUGCAAAGAACCACACAAAUUUAUAGAUCGCCUUAAAUCAAGCUUCUAGGUCAAUAUGAACACGAAGAACACAAUAAGCACAAGAGAUAAGGAUUUGUUUACCGAAGUUCACUUCCACAAAGGAAGCUACGUCUCCGUUGAAGAGCUCACAAAGAGCCAGGUCUUCACUAACCAUUUACCUCCCUUAAUCAACCAUAAAGGAGGAUUGAGUCACUUACUAUGAAUCCAUGAAGGAUGGGUAAUACAAACAUUCCCGGGCGCACCACACAAAGAGGGCGCUCAAACGGGCGACGCCUAGCCGUCUAGAAGCAAGCUUCAAGAGUAACAAAUGCGAAUCGAUGGCCGAAGAUGCUUGGAGUGCUCUUGAGAUGAAUUUGUUGGACCUCACACUCAAAUCCUCAAGACUCACACCCUCAACCUUGUUCUCACCCAAUCCCUAGCUCAAACUCUCAAGGAUUUAGCUCAAAGGGGAGUGGGGGAGGAGUAUUCAAUGCUUGGGGGCUAUUUUAGCUCGAGUUGUUCAGCAGCAAUGAAUCGAGGGGGAGGUGCUGAGGGGAUAUUUAUAUCCGAGCCCCCAAAACUAGCUGUUAUAGUAUAUUUAUAUGCCCUUCGUAACUUCCGACACAGGGUCGGAACUUUCGACGAAGUUAAAUUAAAACAACUAAGAGCUUAUCCUUGGAAGUUUCUUGAAACUUCUAGUGGCCUUUAUCAGACCUUCCGAUAUAGUGUCGGAACUUCCAACACUGCCAGAUAAAAACGGCUGAUCAGCCCCAGUCAGAAAUUUUUGAAUACUUCCAUCGGUGUCGGAACUUCCAACCCCCUAUCAGAACUUCCGACACUCACAGAAAAUGUGAGAAAACAUGUGUGCAAGUGAGUGAGUUGUGUCUCUCAAUGGGUGGUUAGCAUCUCAAUUGAACACUUUAGCAUCUUCAAGCUAUCCAUCCACAUCCCCCUUAAUAGUACGGUGUUUCUAUACUCAGAUUUAAAAUUAAAAAUAAUAGAAAAGUCUUCUUUUGAGCUCAACACUGUUCUUUCUUUUAAAUUUGGAGGUUGUUGAGAUUCCUUUCAUAACCUCUGCACUUCUUUAGAAUUAAAACAUGUUAAUCACUUGAUAAAAUUAUUAGUCCCCUAACCAUGCAUGUUAUCAACACCAAAACCCACUUAGGGGGCCAAAUGCACUUUCACCUACUAACCCUGCAACUACUCCACUCUUCGGCUCCGAGCGCUCCGUCAUGGUAGCUCCCUCCUCCAUGGACGUUGAGCAGCCGUCCCUGCCCUCAGCGAAUUCUGGAUCUGGCGGGUAUGGUCUCAUGCCCCCGCCAGGUCUGGCUGCAUCGCCUGCCUCUCCUGCCGGGGCUCAUCAGCACCCGACAGCUCCCUCCACGCCAAGCAGGCAUGGUCCAGUACCCCUAUCAGGCCCUGCUGCUACGGUGACAUGGCAGCUCUCUGCUCGACCGGGUGGACGUGGUCCCGUACCCCCGCCCGGCUCUCCUAUCCAGAACGCCGCCGGGCCCUCUUCGGACACCGACCCUUUUGGUCCGCCGCGCGUGGCCGCACGGGACAUCGGUCCCGCUUGACCUCCUAUCGAUGACCUCGUCCCUCCUCACCGACACUUCUACACCUGUCAUUUGCAUGUCCCUAUGCGCCAUCACAGGCAACCAGCGCCACCGGCUCCAUCUCCACUCCCAGGUGCUCAUCCUCUGCCGGCACCUUCUUAGGUUGCUGUGCCACCGAUGGCCGGUUCCCAUCUGAUGGUCACUCGCUCGAUGACCGGUUCCUUGACGCAGUCGCGUCCAAUGAACCUUAUUGCCACCGGUGCGACGACAUCUCCGAUUCCUGCCAACUAUCGAAGUGCUCUAGCUGAUCCCAGCUGGCGUGCUACCAUGGCUGAAGAGUAUCAGGCACUCAUUGACAACGACACUUGGCAGUUGGUUCCCCGACCUCCAGGAGCUAAUGUGGUGUCCAGCAAAUGGAUUUACAAGCAUAAAUACCACUCCGAUGGUUCCUUGGCUCGUCACAAGGCUCAAUGGGUUGUCCGCGGGUUUUCUCAGCAGCAUGGGAUAGACUACAACGAGACCUUCAGUCCUGUGGUCAAGCCAGCGACCAUCCGCACCAUCCUCAGCGUUGCCGUUUCUCAUUCCUAGCCGAUCCAUCAGCUGGAUGUCAAGAAUGCAUUUCUCCAUGGUCAUUUGAAUGAGAUGGUCUAUUGCCAACAGCCACCUGGGUUUGUCAACACCUCUGUGCCUGAUCAUGUCUGCCUUCUGCGCAAGUCACUGUACGGCCGGAAACAGGCCUCUCGAGCUUGGUACCAACGUUUUGCCACAUACAUCCGACAGUUGGGAUUUGUUUCUUCAUCGUCAGAUUCAUCGUGGUUUGUUUACAAGGAUGGCUCACACAUUGCCAUUCUGUUGUUAUAUGUCGAUGACAUUGUCCUCACUGCUUCGACUCCAUCCCUACUUCAACACAUUAUUGAUCGCCUUCACUUUGAGUUCUCCAUGACUGACCUUGGUGCUCUCCACCACUUCUUGGCGCCUCCAUCAUUCGCUCCUCCGACGGCCUGUUUUUGUCACUCUCUUGCGACACCGGUGAACUCGAAGGCCAAGUUGUCUAUUGUGGAUGGAGCUCCACUUAAGAACGCAUUUGAGUACAGGAGCCUCAUUGGUGCUCUUCAAUAUCUCACACUAACUCGCUCGAAUCUCGCAUAUACUGUUCAGCAAGUUUGCUUAUUCAUGCACAAUCCGAGAGAGCCUCACCUUGCGCUAAUCAAGUGCAUCUUGCACUAUGUAAAGGGACUUUGUUUGUUGGUCUUCAUAUUGGCACCGAAAGGAACUUUGUCUGCUGGUCUUCAUAUUGGCACCGGCUCUGUUGACAAACACUCUGUGAAGGGACUUUGUUUGUUGGUCUUCAUAUUGGCACCGAAAGGGACUUUGUUGGUCUUCAUAUUGGCACCGGUUCAGUUGACAAACUCACAGCCUACUCUGAAGCCGACUGGGCAGGCUGCCCUGACUCUCGCCGCUCCACUUCUGACUACUGCGUCUACCUCAAUGAUAAUAUGGUGUUUUGGUCCUCCAAACAUCAUACCACAGUUUCCCGCUCCAGUGCUGAAGCAGAAUACCGAGCUGUCGCUUAUGCUGUGGCCGAAUGCUACUGGCUCCAGCAGCUUCCACAGGAACUUCACAUCCCUCUAGCUUCAACAACAUUGGUCUACUGUGACAAUGUGAGUGCUGUCUAUAUGACCGCUAACCCCAUCCACCACCGCCGUACGAAGCAUAUUGAGAUCAACAAUCUCGCUCUCAGUGACGUUUGGGUCCUUCAUGUGCCUUGAGCCACUAGUACGCGCAGACAUCAUGAAAAAAGGACAGUUGUUUAUUGAUUUUAGGUUCAAUCUUUGCGUUCGUCAACUCCCGCUGCGACUGCGGGCGGGUGUUAGAAUAUAUAUAUAUAUAUAAUAUAUAUAUAAUAUAUAUAUAGUCAUAUUGUGUUGUACCUAUUUCUUGUGCACCAAGGGGGUGUUUGGAUACGAGGUGCUAAACUUUAGGAGGGUCACAUCGGAUGUUCGGACGCUAAUUAGGAGGACUAAACAUAAGCUAAUUAUAAAACUAACUGCAGAACCCCUGUACUAGUUCGCGAGACGAAUCUAUUAAACCUAAUUAAUCCAUCAUUAACAAAUGGUUACUGUAGCACCACAUUAUCAAAUCAUGAACUAAUUAGGCUUAAUAGAUUCGUCUUGCGAAUUAAACUUUAUCUGUGCAAUUAAUUUUAUAAUUAAACUAUAUUUAAUACUCUUAAUUAGUAUCAAAUAUCCGAUGAGAUACGUAGCAUACACCCGCUGAUGUUUUCCCUCCCUGCUAUCUCUCUACAAGGACGCCGCGCCGCUCCCUCGCCGGACGUUCAUCGCCGCGGGCACCCUCGCUGGGGGGAGGCGCCGCCUCAGCUUGCCCGCCCGCGUUGGACCUCGCGGCCGGCUUGCUGGACCCCGAGGAGUGCUAGGAGGAGGACGAAGACGAGCAGCUGGACGCCUCCCCGCGCCCCCUCCCCUCCGGCGACGCCUCCCCUGCGCGGGCAUCGCCUUCCGCGACUGGCGCCGGCCUCGUGCCUUUAGCCAGGGCUCACGGCCAAGUGCGAGGACGCCCGCGUGGCUCCCUCUUCCCCCUUUCCUUUGGGGCCGCGGGGGGGAGGGUGGAGGAGGGGUGCCGACGACGACCGACGAGGCUCUGCCGCUCUCCUCCCCAUCCAGCCUCGACCGCCGCUCGCCAAGACUCCGCCGUCUGCUUCCUCGCAGGGGGCCACCGCCGCGGGCUCCAUCGCUGGGUAUGCAUGGGGAGGGGGCCCGCGGCCUCCAGCGCCGCUGCUCCCCGCGGUGGGAGCAAGGCGGGUCCGGCCGAGCUGGGUAGUGGCGCGCCUCGUCGAGGUCCCGGAGCUUCGCGCCAGCAGCGGCGCUGCGGAGCUUGAACAGAGCCAAGGCAGCGGCGGCACUGAGAGCUUGCGCUGAGAGGAGAAUGAAGAGGCGAUUCCUGGCUGGUGGCCUCGUAGGCACCAUACGUAUGUGCAGCCCGUGGGCAUCGAUGCUCAGGCCUUCAUGUCCUGUAGGUGUAGGAGGCUGUUGAUGGUUCUGAUUCUUUGAUUUUUGGAGAUGGAGCAACUUGUGUAGUGUUGUAUUUGGCGCAACGCCGCUGCUGAUUGGAGUUAGAAAUCAGAGAGAGCUGCAGGACGCGGUGAAGGCAAGGAUGGCGUGAGAUGCUGUUGCUUCUAGCUUGGUGGGGACGGAAGCAGAGAGGAAGGAGGUAGCUAUUGCUGCUUCAAUCGGAAACAGAGAAGAAGCAGAGAUCCAUAUCGUGAUGGUUCUUGGUUGGCUGCUUGCUGUGUGUCCAUAACAAGAGGAAGGGAAUUAGCUAGUGACGAGCCUGAGGGAGCAGUAGCUCGGAGUGGGUCUAGCUUGACGAGGAGAGGGAGGGAAUGGCAAGGGUAGGAUCGGUGGAUCCAAAUACCCCAGCUGGCUAAAGUUUAGACGGGUGAAUCUAGGAUCGUAACCGAGAGCUCGUGGGAACUCAUGCCAAUCACCUUUAUUUCCGUUGGCAACUUGGAUCUGAGAGGGAAGAAAAAUUCAAAUAUGAGUAUUUUAUUAAGGUCCAAAGGAGUGCCUCGUGCCAAAAGCAAAAUUGAGGUAUUUUGUUUGAAGAUUUCAUGAAGGUGAGUGUGGGGCCAUGUUUUCCACGGCAAAUUCUUUUAUUUACUUACCAAAUUUUUCUCCAAAUUUGCUUGCACGCAAGCCAGUCAGUGAUUCAUUGGUUCUGUCCUGCCGGCCCAUUCAUCCUGUUCCCGUUUGACCAGCCGGCUAAUGGGACCCGUUCCAUUUCCUCCGCGGUGCUCUCGCCGACGCCCGCAACGUGUAACGCGCCCGCGGUGACGGAGCCGUGAGCCAUCCGUAACGGCUCCGUGGGUCGCGCCCGCCCGCCCGCCCCAUUAACCCGCGCCACCCCGGGGGGUAACGUCGUCACCCUAACGCCGCCGCCGUGGCCGGGAGCGGAGCCCGCGGCGUAACCCUAACGCCGCCACGCGCGGCCAUCCAUGGCCUCCUGCGACGACGACUUCGGCCUCCUCGGUGACGACGCCCACCAGCCGGCAGCUCCCCCGCCCCAGGCCCCCACCACCGCCCAGCAGCCCGCGCCGCCGCCGCAGCCUGCCCAGGCCUUCUGCUUCGCGGACGCGGCCGUGGCGCCGGGCGCCGGCGCCGGCGCCGGCUCCUUCGCGCAGGUCCCGGAGGAGAGCAACCACCACGCCGAGCGCGGCAAGGCCGCGCACCACGCCAAGCGGACCAGGGAGCGCGCCGACGAGUUCAGCAGCGAUGGGGGCGAGUACUGCUCCUACAUCAACAGCGGCGGCAGCGGCGGCGGGGGGAAGAAGGGCCGCGGCGGAGGGAGCUCGGGCGCGUCGGACUACCGUAAGGAUCGGGAGGAGUGGACGGACGGCGCCAUCAGCAGCCUCCUCGACGCCUACACGGACCGAUUCGAGCAGCUCAACCGGGGGAACCUGCGGGGUCGGGACUGGGAGGACGUGGCCGGCGCCGUGACCGACGGGCAGGGCAAGACUACCGGGGGCAAGAGCGUGGAGCAAUGUAAGAACAAGAUCGACAACCUUAAGAAGCGCUACAAGGUGGAGUGCCAGCGGCUCGCCAGCUCCAGCGGCGGCGCUGUCAGCCACUGGCCCUGGUUCAAAAAGAUGGAGCAGAUCGUCGGAAACUCUGCGUCUCCUGCCUCCUCCAAGCCGCUUGCCACAGCCGAGGAUGAAAAACCGAGUCAGCAGCAGCAGCAGCAGCAUGGCAGCAAAAGGUGGUCCAUUUUCACAUCUUUGUUUGAUUAAUUUGGAGAUCCACUGGUCUCGGCUAAUGUUUAUCACUGUAGGUAUCCUCUUUCCAGCGCUGGCCCUAUUACGGUGGUUGGUAGCUCCAGAGUGAACCCUCUUUCAAAUCCAAGAUGGAAGAGGGUGCUUCUGAAGAUUGGGGGCACUGCCUUGGCAGGACCAGCUCCUCAAAACGUUGACCCCAAGGUAGUAUAAAUUAGCUGCUGGUACUACAUCUGGUUUGAUGCUGUCCUGAAUCCUGAUUGUUUCAUACUAAAACUUGUCAUCUUGUCAGAUCAUUAUGCUGAUUGCUAGAGAAGUUCAAGUGGCAUGUCAUCAUGGUGUGGAGGUAAAUAGAGAGCAUCCAUACGAGAGGUUUGUUUUUCUGAUAUGAGGCAACACUUGUCAAUAUUGCCUUCAAUCCUAUCAGGUGGCAAUUGUGGUAGGAGGACGGAAUAUAUUCUGCGGUGACAAUUGGGUAGCUGCAACUGGCACCGAUCGAGCUUCAACAUACCCAAUCGGGUAAUUUUCUGCCAUUAUUAUUUCCUUUUUUUAUCUUUGUCCUUCUCCUUCUGCUUUUACAUUUUAUCCUAGUGAGGAUAAUGAUGAGCUAAGCAGCACACAUAUCCUUGUCAUCAGGAUACGGAUACAAUGCGAUGUUUUUUUCCAAUUCACCACCACAUAUGUUUUUGUAUUUUUUUAAAAAAUAAAUAGAUGAUAAAGCAUAUUUUUAUUCUCAACAAUAAAACAUGAACUGUUCACUGCAUGCAGAUAGCAAUCUGCUUAAAUUAGAUUGCAUAACAUAGCAGUCUCAAAGUUAUAAAGUACUAACAGUAGUGUUUGACAAAAACAAAAUAGCUAAUAAAGUGGGAACAGUGAAUGAUAGGACUAUGGGAGGGGAUGGGGAAAGGGAACGAAUGGUCACCGUGUGUUGCUGGCAGCUGCUGCCUUCUUGAGCUUGUCUGGCAGAUCUACUCACAGGCAGCGGGCGGACGGGUGCACGGUCGGGCAAGCAGUGGUUUGAACUUCUGGGAGUCGUUGAUGUGCAUCACCUAGUGUUCCAGGGGUCAUACUUAAUGGGCCAAUCUGUGUCACUGGGAUGUAUCCUAACGGGCCAAUACGUAUUGGCCUACGUAUCUAUUAUUCAUUUAUUUAUUUUAAAAUCGGAU